RNAcentral lists this ribosomal RNA (497 nucleotides) under uncultured bacterium. RNAcentral's name for it is "partial 16S ribosomal RNA". It matches the Rfam family "Bacterial small subunit ribosomal RNA", at positions 28 to 507 of the family's 1533-position model. The record is from RNAcentral.
GAUGAACGCUGGCGGCGUGCCUAAUACAUGCAAGUCGAGCGAACAGACGAGGAGCUUGCUCCUCUGACGUUAGCGGCGGACGGGUGAGUAACACGUGGAUAACCUACCUAUAAGACUGGGAUAACUUCGGGAAACCGGUGCUAAUACCGGAUAACAUGUUGAACCGCAUGGUUCAACAGUGAAAGACGGUUUUGCUGUCACUUAUAGAUGGAUCCGCGUCGCAUUAGCUAGUUGGUAAGGUAACGGCUUACCAAGGCAACGAUGCGUAGCCGACCUGAGAGGGUGAUCGGCCACACUGGAACUGAGACACGGUCCAGACUCCUACGGGAGGCAGCAGUAGGGAAUAUUCCGCAAUGGGCGAAAGCCUGACGGAGCAACGCCGCGUGAGUGAAGAAGGUCUUCGGAUCGUAAAACUCUGUUAUUAGGGAAGAACAAAUGUGUAAGUAAAUAUGCACGUCUUGACGGUACCUAAUCAGAAAGCAACGGCUAACUACGUG